UUAGCAUGACAUCACAAUGUGCUUUAGUGAUGCACACAUGGCUGUGUGGGGGUAUGGAAGGGAUGAGGGUACACAGGGAGCCCGGGGAACCACAGCUUGGGGGAUUGUGACUGCUUGGGCAGGAAUAAGCUUUAUGAGAUCACUGUUGGCCUGAUGGCCUGGUACAAGGUGGGGUCCUGGUCAAGCCAUCAUUAUAGUCUCAGCUUUCAGAUCCCAGGGAGACGUGGGGCUCCUUCCUGGGGUCUGGAUCCUCCCAAGGCUAUGGGGUUGUCAUCCCAACAGCUGCGGAGGAAGCACUGGGAAGCACUUGCUCACUGCCUAGGGAUACCAGGAAAUGCUACGGUGCUGGGCCCAGAACUCCUUAAGGUGCAGAGGGGGGAUCCCUGAGGGGAUGGAGAAGCCACAAUCCUUUGCUUAUACCGAGCCAGGGAAACUUAACAAAGGUUUGCUCUCUCUGAUCACACCCAGCCCAGAGAUUUUACAGGCAUUAGCAAAUCCCCAUUAUCCAGAGUCUGUCAUCAAGGAAGUGCCAAGAACAGAAAGGUCUGGAAGCUCAUCCAAGAACUAUCACACUUUCAAGAGCUGGGGAGGGAUGACACGGAGACGGCAGCUCUCACCAGAUCAUUUGCUUCUGCUUGGUUAAAAAUUCUUGGAGAAGGACUCAGAAACACAAGUGAGAGGACCCAUAUAAAGAUGGAGAUGGCAAAGUAGGCCCUGGGUACCAGCAAUGGCCAGUAGUGGUGCUGCCACUGCCCAAAGAACACAGAGAGUGUACCUGUGUCCCAGCUCCUUCGGAUGGUGCAAACUCCAUGGACUUCAAGAUGCUGAAAGAGCAAGACAGAGCAGUGAUUUUCUACUUAUACCUUUGAUAACAGCCACGCUAAUAAUAAGCAUUAAUGGUACAAUUUCCUGCUCUCCAGGAGCUGAAGAACUGACAACUUUAACAACUUCCCUGGCAGGAGCUUUAAUCUGAUAAUGUCUUUAGAAUAACUAGUAUUCAACUAGCAGUUGGCUAGCAAAAGAUUUUUUUGCCCAGCAUGUAAAUCAUUCCAUAUGGAAUCACACCAGGUCUGUUCAGAGUAUAAUUUUAAAGUUUAAUACAGACAUCACAUUGUUGUGAGUGGAAUGUAUUUGUGAAGCUUAAAGGGAAUGAAAAAGUUCUUCCAGGGACACCACAGAGAGGGCAACUCUCUACUGUGGACAUGAACUUGGUAAUCAGGACCCACUCAGGGCCCAGGAAAAACAGACAAACAGCAAUAUCCCAUACAGGGAUGGCUCGAAGGCCAGGCAGGCAGACCGUGCAACCCCAGAUCUGAGAAGAAGCUCUAAAGACAGAGGCAUAUCGAACAUCAUUCCCCAUUGUUCCUGUUAGCACGGGCAUGGGCUAGGUUCCAGAGCUGCUCCAGGCUCUGGACUGUCUGAACAAGGCAGGAGGUUGUGAGGUCAGGUCCCUGGAACUACUGUUGCUCAUGCUCUUUUUGCUGGGGAUGAUCCUUUCUGCCAGCAUCAGAGAGAAUAGGGGAAGUGAGUCUGUUGGGCCCUAAGGAGCUGCCCAAUAGGGAACAACGGGGCUUGGACAGGCUGGGUCCACAGGGAGGUUUACAAUUUGUAGGCAGCAAGUCAAGUGGACCCUUCCAGUGUUUCUGCAGCCGAGAUUUUCGUCUCCCAUAAUUGAGAUUUUAAGCUCGCACAAUGAUGGUAAAGAGGCUAUUACAGGUGAAGGGCCCCCAGAGCUGUUGUGCUGGUUUGGUUAAGGAAAAAGACUGGCCUCUCUAGUUGUCUGCAUCUUUGCAUUGUGUCUACUGUGUCAACUAACAAAAGCAGGGACAAGGUGGAGUAAACCAUGUGAGAACUCUGGGUUUUUCAUAUUACACAGGAGAGGCUAUGAGCUCUCUGGACAAACUUGCCUUUUUUUUUUUUUUUUUUUAAGAACAAUUCAUGUUGUUUGCAUCUAUAUUCUUGUUCUUUAUUUGGGUCUUCUUUAGGAUGAUGCAGUGAGAGGCUGAGUUAGUCUGUAUAGGUUAAGCAUCCCAAAUCUGAAAACCAAAACUUUUUGAGGGCUGGUAUGACCCUACAGUGGAAAAUUCCACACUACGAAACUUUGCUUCAUGUACAAAAUUAUUAAAAAUACCGCAUAAAAUUACCUUUCAGGUUAUGUGCAAAAGAUGCAUAUGAAAAAUAA
This is a long non-coding RNA of Heterocephalus glaber (naked mole-rat), 2182 nucleotides long. RefSeq lists it as uncharacterized. NCBI's taxonomy places the organism in Eukaryota, Metazoa, Chordata, Mammalia, Rodentia, Bathyergidae. The record is from RefSeq and is a predicted model, not a curated record.